RNAcentral lists this ribosomal RNA (403 nucleotides) under uncultured bacterium. RNAcentral's name for it is "partial 16S ribosomal RNA". It matches the Rfam family "Bacterial small subunit ribosomal RNA", at positions 29 to 526 of the family's 1533-position model. The record is from RNAcentral.
AUUGAACGCUGGCGGCGUGCCUAAUACAUGCAAGUCGAACGCAGUGGGGACGGGUGAGUAACACGUUGGUAACCUCCCAUCAGAGGGGAUAACACUUGGAAACAGGUGCUAAACCGCUACUGAUGGUUGGACCCGAGGUGCAUGAGCUAGUGGGGGGGGGAACGGCGCAAAAAGGCCACGAGGCCUAGCGGUCCUGAGAGGAGGAUCAGCCACACGGGAACUGAGACACGGUCCAGACUCCUACGGGAGGGAGCAGUGGGGAAUCUUGGGCAAUGGACGAAAGCCUGACCGAGCAACGCCGCGUGCGUGAAGAAGGUUUUCGGAUCGUAAAGCUCUGUUAUUGAGGAAGCGGUAUCGAAACAGAAAGCAACGGCUAACUACGUGCCAGCAGCCGCGGUAAUAC